AGUGAACGCUGGCGGUAGGCCUAACACAUGCAAGUCGAACGGCAGCACAGUAAGAGCUUGCUCUUACGGGUGGCGAGUGGCGGACGGGUGAGGAAUACAUCGGAAUCUACUUUUUCGUGGGGGAUAACGUAGGGAAACUUACGCUAAUACCGCAUACGACCUACGGUUGAAAGUAUGGGAUCUUCGGACCUUUCGCGAUUGAAUGAGCCGAUGUCGGAUUAGCUAGUUGGCGGGGUAAUGGCCCACCAAGGCGACGAUCCGUAGCUGGUCUGAGAGGAUGAUCAGCGACACUGGAACUGAGACACGGUCCAGACUCCUACGGGAGGCAGCAGUGGGGAAUAUUGGACAAUGGGCGCAAGCCUGAUACAGCCAUACCGCGUGGGUGAAGAAGGCCUUCGGGUUGUAAAGCCCUUUUGUUGGGAAAGAAAAGCAGCAGGUUAAUACCCCGCUGUUCUGACGGUACCCAAAGAAUAAGCACCGGCUAACUUCGUG
This 492-nucleotide ribosomal RNA is filed under the name uncultured bacterium. Its description in RNAcentral is "partial 16S ribosomal RNA". It matches the Rfam family "Bacterial small subunit ribosomal RNA", at positions 29 to 507 of the family's 1533-position model. The record is from RNAcentral.